AUUGUCUGUUUGUGUAUAUAUAAGACGACAUGAAUGAUGAUUCAUUUUUUUUGGAGAAACCUAUUUUCUGCAAACAUUGCUCAAAGUUUUUGGAGUUUCCAGAUUUUCGCAACAUGUUUGAUAGAUGUCGCAUUCCGGAAAAGACAGCAGUGUGGUACGCGUAAGAUCAUGUUAUUUAUUACUAUUUCUCAAGCAUGUUGUAAAUUCAAAAAAUGUGACGUUUUACGGAUUUACUGUUUCUUCUUGUGGAACUAUUGUAUUUCUAAGCUACUUACUCCGAGAGGCAAUAAGAUUACGAGAAAAAGAGAGAUAAAAGAAGAUUCAUUCAGGGAGAUUUUAGGAGUAGAACGAAAGAUGCAGUGUUUAUACUUUUUAAACAUCAUGUGAAGCUUGGAUGCACAUGAAAUAUUUAACACAAAAGGAUGUAAAGUUAGAAAGAAUGAAGAACAUGCUUUCUAUUUCCCCCUUGUGCACUUUAGAAAAUGACUAAAGUUGUGUCUAACUUUAACUUCUAGAGAGCAACAUAUAUGUUUGCAUGUAUCAUUCUCAUGGAAUGAAAGCUUUUAUUGAUGCUU
Long non-coding RNA from Solanum pennellii, 575 nucleotides. RefSeq lists it as uncharacterized. The transcript has 2 exons. NCBI's taxonomy places the organism in Eukaryota, Viridiplantae, Streptophyta, Magnoliopsida, Solanales, Solanaceae. The record is from RefSeq and is a predicted model, not a curated record.